RNAcentral lists this unclassified non-coding RNA (245 nucleotides) under Ascomycota sp. Its description in RNAcentral is "partial contains small subunit ribosomal RNA, internal transcribed spacer 1, and 5.8S ribosomal RNA". The stretch from base 1 to 47 matches the Rfam family "Eukaryotic small subunit ribosomal RNA", at positions 1785 to 1831 of the family's 1831-position model. Lineage: Eukaryota; Fungi; Ascomycota. The record is from RNAcentral.
AAAGUCGUAACAAGGUUUCCGUAGGUGAACCUGCGGAAGGAUCAUUACCUUUCAAUGCAGCAGAAUUGGGAUGGUUGAGUAUCUCGCCUUCCAAUUCUGCCUGUAUUCCACCCUUGUUUGUCAUACUAUUAUUUCCUCGGCAGGCUUGCCUGCCGAGUGAAACCAAUUAUAACCUAUUUAAUUUUCAAUCAGCGUCUGAAAAAAAUUAAUAAUUACAACUUUCAACAACGGAUCUCUUGGUUCUG